RNAcentral lists this transfer RNA (85 nucleotides) under Methanosarcina lacustris Z-7289. RNAcentral's name for it is "tRNA-Leu (TAA) (tRNA-Leu-TAA-1-1)". It matches the Rfam family "tRNA". From Rfam's summary of the family: Transfer RNA (tRNA) molecules are approximately 80 nucleotides in length. Their secondary structure includes four short double-helical elements and three loops (D, anti-codon, and T loops). Lineage: Archaea; Methanobacteriati; Methanobacteriota; Methanomicrobia; Methanosarcinales; Methanosarcinaceae. The record is from RNAcentral.
GCGAGGGUUGCCCAGCUAGGUCAAAGGCGCCAGACUUAAGAUCUGGCUUCGAAGGAAUUCGUGGGUUCGAAUCCCACCCUUCGCA